Molecule: transfer RNA, 77 nt
Filed under: Xylanibacter ruminicola
Lineage: Bacteria; Pseudomonadati; Bacteroidota; Bacteroidia; Bacteroidales; Prevotellaceae
Also listed under: 36 other names
Description: tRNA-Asn
Rfam family: tRNA
About the family: Transfer RNA (tRNA) molecules are approximately 80 nucleotides in length. Their secondary structure includes four short double-helical elements and three loops (D, anti-codon, and T loops).
Source: RNAcentral
GCUUCAGUAGCUCAGUUGGUUAGAGCACCUGACUGUUAAUCAGGGGGUCGUUGGUUCAAGCCCAUCCUGAAGCGCAA